Schistosoma curassoni is the source of this 46-nucleotide non-coding RNA. The record is from Rfam. Lineage: Eukaryota; Metazoa; Platyhelminthes; Trematoda; Strigeidida; Schistosomatidae.
ACACUGCUGAGGAGUCCUACAAUAAGACGAAACGGACGUCCAGUGG